This 250-nucleotide ribosomal RNA is filed under the name uncultured bacterium. RNAcentral's name for it is "partial 16S ribosomal RNA". It matches the Rfam family "Bacterial small subunit ribosomal RNA", at positions 524 to 773 of the family's 1533-position model. The record is from RNAcentral.
GACAGAGGAUGCAAACGUUGUUCGGAAUUACUAAGCGUAAAGCGCGUGUAGACGGCUCGACAAGUCGGGUGUGAAAGCCCUGGGCUCAACCCAGGAAAUGCAUUCGAAACUGCCGAGCUGGAGUCCCGGAGAGGAAGGCGGAAUUCUCGGUGUAGAAGUGAAAUUCGUAGAUAUCGAGAGGAACACCGAUGGCGAAGACGGCCUUCUGGACGGCGACUGACGCUGAGACGCGAAAGCGUGGGGAGCAAAC